Molecule: ribosomal RNA, 418 nt
Filed under: bacterium enrichment culture clone ALO1_GLFRUDD03GDHHU
Lineage: Bacteria
Description: bacterial SSU rRNA
Rfam family: Bacterial small subunit ribosomal RNA
Source: RNAcentral
GAGUUUGAUCAUGGCUCAGAUUGAACGCUGGCGGCAUGCCUUACACAUGCAAGUCGAACGGCAGCACGGGAGCUUGCUCCUGGUGGCGAGUGGCGAACGGGUGAGUAAUGCAUCGGAACGUAUCCUGGAGUGGGGGAUAACGUAGCGAAAGUUACGCUAAUACCGCAUAUUCUGUGAGCAGGAAUGCGGGGGACCUUCGGGCCUCGCGCUCUUGGAGCGGCCGAUGUCGGAUUAGCUAGUUGGUGAGGUAAAGGCUCACCAAGGCGACGAUCCGUAGCAGGUCUGAGAGGAUGAUCUGCCACACUGGAACUGAGACACGGUCCAGACUCCUACGGGAGGCAGCAGUGGGGAAUUUUGGACAAUGGGGGCAACCCUGAUCCAGCCAUGCCGCGUGAGUGAAGAAGGCCUCGGUUGUAAG